CCUACGGGAGGCUGCAGUGAGGAAUAUUGGUCAAUGGUCGGGAGACUGAACCAGCCAAGCCGCGUGAGGGAGGAAGGUACAGAGUAUCGUAAACCUCUUUUGUCAGGGCACAAAGGCUGGGACGUGUCCCCGGAUGAGUGUACCUGAAGAAAAAGCAUCGGCUAACUCCGUGCCAGAAGCCGCGGUAAUACGAGGGAUGCGAGCGUUAUCCGGAUUUAUUGGGUGUAAGGGGUGCGCAGGCGGUCUGUUAAGUCAGCGGUCAAAGCCCGGGGCUCAACCCCGGCCCGCCGUUGAAACUGGCAGGCUCGAGUUGGAGAGAAGUAGGCGGAAUGCGCGGUGUAGCGGUGAAAUGCAUAGAUAUCGCGCAGAACUCCGAUUGCGAAGGCAGCAUGCCGGCUCCACACUGACGCUGAGGCACGAAAGCGUGGGUAUCGAACAGGAUUAGAUACCCGAGUAGUC
This 459-nucleotide ribosomal RNA is filed under the name uncultured bacterium. RNAcentral describes it as "partial 16S ribosomal RNA". It matches the Rfam family "Bacterial small subunit ribosomal RNA", at positions 338 to 795 of the family's 1533-position model. The record is from RNAcentral.